This 254-nucleotide ribosomal RNA is filed under the name uncultured bacterium. RNAcentral describes it as "partial 16S ribosomal RNA". It matches the Rfam family "Bacterial small subunit ribosomal RNA", at positions 524 to 776 of the family's 1533-position model. The record is from RNAcentral.
CACGUAGGGCGCAAGCGUUGUCCGGAAUUAUUGGGCGUAAAGAGCUCGUAGGCGGUCUGUUGCGUCCGCUGUGAAAACCCGGGGCUUAACCCCUGGCUUGCAGUGGAUACGGACAGACUAGAGGUAGGUAGGGGAGAAUGGAAUUCCCAGUGUAGCGGUGAAAUGCGUAGAUACUGGGAGGAACACCGGUGGCGAAGGCGGCUACCUGGACCGGUUCUGACGCUGAGGCGCGAAAGCGUGGGGAGCAAAACAGG